This 460-nucleotide ribosomal RNA is filed under the name uncultured actinomycete. RNAcentral's name for it is "bacterial SSU rRNA". It matches the Rfam family "Bacterial small subunit ribosomal RNA", at positions 486 to 944 of the family's 1533-position model. The record is from RNAcentral. Lineage: Bacteria; Bacillati; Actinomycetota; Actinomycetes; Actinomycetales.
GAGAGMGCCGGCUAACUACGUGCCAGCAGCCGCGGUAAUACGUAGGGCGCAAGCGUUGUCCGGAAUUAUUGGGCGUAAAGAGCUCGUAGGUGGCUUGUUGCGUCUGCCGUGAAAUCCCGUGGCUUAACUGCGGGUCUGCGGUGGAUACGGGCAGGCUAGAGGCUGGUAGGGGCAAGCGGAAUUCCUGGUGUAGCGGUGAAAUGCGCAGAUAUCAGGAGGAACACCGGUGGCGAAGGCGGCUUGCUGGGCCAGUUCUGACGCUGAGGAGCGAAAGCGUGGGGAGCGAACAGGAUUAGAUACCCUGGUAGUCCACGCUGUAAACGUUGGGCGCUAGGUGUGGGGGUCUUCCAUGGUUCCUGUGCCGUAGCUAACGCAUUAAGCGCCCCGCCUGGGGAGUACGGCCGCAAGGCUAAAACUCAAAGGAAUUGACGGGGGCCCGCACAAGCGGCGGAGCAUGUUG